Molecule: long non-coding RNA, 776 nt
Organism: Panthera uncia (snow leopard)
Lineage: Eukaryota; Metazoa; Chordata; Mammalia; Carnivora; Felidae
Exons: 2
Source: RefSeq, a predicted model, not a curated record
GCUAAAAGUGAAAUUUGUUUGGAACAUUAAGUGCAGUUUUAUCAUUAGUAGUAUUUUUAUGCUAUGCUGUUUCAAAUGUGUGUAAUACAGAAAUGUAUACAAUAGGCUGAAUUGUAUUAAUACAACUAAUUAAAGUGAAAUUGCUUUUUUUUUCUUUAUGCUGUAGAAAAUACAACUUCCAAAGAAACUGGCAAAACGCUAUCCUGCAUAUGAAUUAUAUCUUUAUGGAGAAGGAUCCUAUGCUGAAGAACACAAAAUUCUCCCUUUGACGGGUAUUCCAGUUCUCUUUCUUCCUGGUAAUGCUGGAAGUUAUAAGCAAGUCCGCUCUGUUGGCUCUAUUGCACUUAGAAAAGCAGAAGACAUUGACUUCAAAUACCACUUUGACUUCUUUAGUGUGAAUUUCAAUGAAGAACUGGUGGCACUGUAUGGUGGAAGUCUUCAGAAACAGACCAAGUUUGUACAUGAAUGCAUUAAAACAAUUCUCAAACUCUAUAAGGUAGGAGAUAAGCAUGCAAAUCAAUAGUGAUCACCUAUUAACAUCUUUUUUUUUAAGACAUUCAGCAUAUUUUAAAUCAUGUAUUUGUUUAUAUGGAAGUUACAGAUGGCACAAAGGUUUGUUUUUUGUUUUGGUGGGAGUCUUAUUUUGAACUCCGUGGUUUUGAAAUUUGAAUUGGAUUUAUAAGGGGCGCCUGGGUGGCUCAGUCAGUUGAGCGUCCGACUUUGGCUCAGGUCAUGAUCUCACGGUCUUUGAGUUCGAGCCCCACAUCAGGUUCUCU